AGAGUUUGAUCAUGGCUCAGAAUGAACGCUGGCGGCAGGCCUAACACAUGCAAGUCGAACGGAUCCUUCGGGAUUAGUGGCGGACGGGUGAGUAACGCGUGGGAACAUACCCUUUGGUACGGAAUAGCCUCGGGAAACUGGGAGUAAUACCGUAUGUGCCCUUCGGGGGAAAGAUUUAUCGCCAAAGGAUUGGCCCGCGUUGGAUUAGGUAGUUGGUGGGGUAAUGGCCUACCAAGCCGACGAUCCAUAGCUGGUUUGAGAGGAUGAUCAGCCACACUGGGACUGAGACACGGCCCAGACUCCUACGGGAGGCAGCAGUGGGGAAUCUUAGACAAUGGGGGAAACCCUGAUCUAGCCAUGCCGCGUGAUCGAUGAAGGCCUUAGGGUUGUAAAGAUCUUUCAGUUGGGAAGAUAGUGACGGUACCAACAGAAGAG
RNAcentral lists this ribosomal RNA (435 nucleotides) under uncultured Rhodobacter sp. RNAcentral's name for it is "bacterial SSU rRNA". It matches the Rfam family "Bacterial small subunit ribosomal RNA", at positions 8 to 489 of the family's 1533-position model. The record is from RNAcentral. Lineage: Bacteria; Pseudomonadati; Pseudomonadota; Alphaproteobacteria; Rhodobacterales.